GUUAUGGAAGAGGGAGACCUGCCAGGGCUGCGAGUCACGCGUGCAGCGGACACUAGACGCCUCAAGGUCCACGCGCGUGGCGUUUCCCGGGAGCAACAGCGCCUGCGCGGCUGGGUGACACACGAGCUGGUGAAUCAUAGGAGGCCCAGGCUGCAAGGGACAGGCCGCAUCACCUCGGCUAACACCCUCGUUUUGGGUGAGGAAUGGGAGGCUCAGAGAGGGCUGUGACUCAUAAGAGGUCACACAGCAAGCAAGUCCGCCUAACAACCAGAAGGUUCUAUAUAGUUCCAGCUCUGAGUUCUUCCUUGUGCCAGCGACCUCUCUCCAAGAGCUGAACAGAACGUCUGUGUUAUCCGGGGCAUCUUUUGUCCCGCUUAGCCUUGUCCAGAUUUUUUGCUACAGCGGUUAUGUUCUAGCAGCCACCAGCCACGUGCAGCUGCAGAGCAUUCGAAACAUGCCAUUUGAAGCAUGCUUUCUUGUCCUCUGACUUGAUUUUGACUAGCAGGUAUGAUACCACUCAGUACUGACCUCAGUGAACGGAAUCUGGGCAGUUUGAAGAUGAUGGUAGCCUUCUUUACUGCCUCUCACUCCAUGGUUCAGAUGCGCUCCCUCUUCUUACACUUUCGCAUGUGCAGUUUUUUCUGCAGGUAGAUGAACUGAGUGCCGGGAAGGAGCUGAACUGAGUUCUUUCCGCCCAGCCUGUAGGAGGGCUUGGUGGGUAAAGGCGCUUGCUGCCAAGCCUGCCAGCCUGUGUUUGAUCCUGGGACCUACAUGGUGGGAGGAGAGGACUGACUCCUGCAGUUUGCACACUUGCACAUGUGUACCAUGGCAUGAGCACCCUCUGAUAAAUGAAUGAGUAAAUGUGAAAAAAAUUAAGUAAUAUAAAAAGAAAAUGAACUGAGCUGUAAUGGGACAUUGCUUUGAUAGCUAAGACUGUUGCUGCGCUUUUAAAUCCUCCAAUCUUUCACUUCUCAGAUGUAUGGCUGUGAGCAAAUGCGGUCAUCUGUCUGUGCCCAUUUUCCUGUCUGGAAAGUGGACAGGAAAAGAGGACCAGUCUCCCUGGGGGUUGUGAGCAUUUAGUUGGUUAGUAACAUUUAAACCCUCUGGGGAGCUGAAGAGACUCAGAAGUUCAGAGGACUUGCUGCUCUUGCCGAGGACCUGGCUUUGGUCCCACACAGUUGUCAGGACACCUGAUGCCCUCUUCUGGACUCCUCAAGGCACUAAGCAGGCAUGUGGUGACAUACAUAUAUGCAGGCAAAGACUCAACACACAGACAUCAUUUAAAAGCCCUCUGGAUCAGGAUUUGAAUGCAAUUGACACUGAAUUAGAACCAUUUGAUCAUUUAACAAAUAUUUAUUGAAACCCUGGAAUAUGCCACGAACUUCCUUCAGGGCCAGGGACAAAACAACAAAAACCAACCAAAGCCAGUGAUGAUCAUCUUCAGAGUCACAACUCAGGUCAAGCCAGGAUUUUGUUUCAAGCCCCAAGCUGAUCAUCAGGCGCUCUCACACUCCUUGUGUUCGAUGAUGGAGACAUUGGCACAUCGCAAGGAAUGAGGCAAGCGCACUGUGGGGACAGCAGUGGAAGGUGUGAAUCUGAGCCCUGAGUCUCCAACCUCACCGCAGUGGCCAACACCUGGGACAGUCCUUGCCCUCACCCAUCUCUCUGCUGGAACUAUAGCAACAGCAACACUAGAAAACCAAAGUUCAGAGAGGUAAAGCCAUCCGCCUUAGAUCCCACAACCAGAAAGUUACAGAUUUGGGAAUCACACCUGUCACACUUCUGAGGCCCCAAAAUUCAUCUGGUCUCCAUCCCCCAAAUCCCAUAUUCCACCCUGAUCGCAUUUCCCUUGGGAGCCCCUACACUGGGGGCUGGACGUAGUGCCCCAUCCGGAAAUGAGGCAGCUGGUGCCCGCAGUGACGCAGUGUGAGGACAGGAUUGUGCUCCCCAAGGAGGAUCACGUAACGGCUGAGGUGGGAGAGAUGUGGUCAGAGGUGGAAAGGUAGGGGGACAGGGCAGGGGUCGGGAGGGAGAGAUGAUGAAUGGUACCUUGUGAAACCCAGCCCCACCCCACUUCCA
Molecule: long non-coding RNA, 2079 nt
Organism: Peromyscus californicus insignis
Lineage: Eukaryota; Metazoa; Chordata; Mammalia; Rodentia; Cricetidae
Exons: 6
Source: RefSeq, a predicted model, not a curated record